RNAcentral lists this ribosomal RNA (301 nucleotides) under uncultured bacterium. RNAcentral describes it as "partial 16S ribosomal RNA". It matches the Rfam family "Bacterial small subunit ribosomal RNA", at positions 509 to 809 of the family's 1533-position model. The record is from RNAcentral.
CAGUCGCCGCGGUAAUACAGAGGGUGCGAGCGUUAAUCGGAUUUACUGGGCGUAAAGCGUGCGUAGGCGGCUUCCUAAGUCGGAUGUGAAAUCCCUGAGCUUAACUUAGGAAUUGCAUUCGAUACUGGGAAGCUAGAGUAUGGGAGAGGAUGGUAGAAUUCCAGGUGUAGCGGUGAAAUGCGUAGAGAUCUGGAGGAAUACCGAUGGCGAAGGCAGCCAUCUGGCCUAAUACUGACGCUGAGGUACGAAAGCAUGGGGAGCAAACAGGAUUAGAUACCCCAGUAGUCCCUGUCUCUUAUAA